RNA transcript from Helianthus annuus (common sunflower), 1638 nucleotides. It is a transcript of the gene named DNA mismatch repair protein MutS, with no coding region annotated. NCBI's taxonomy places the organism in Eukaryota, Viridiplantae, Streptophyta, Magnoliopsida, Asterales, Asteraceae. The record is from RefSeq and is a predicted model, not a curated record. The transcript has 3 exons.
AUUACAAAACAAAAAAACAUGGCUGUAACUAGUCUAUCGUCAUACUUAUGUAACCAUUUUUCACUCCCUGCUCAUCCCUCCAGGUCCAUCCUUUUCACUCUGCCUACUCAUCCAUCUGCUCCAGUGCCUUCGUCUGCAAUCAGGUAACUCUCCCCUACAAAAGAAUCAUAAUUUUGAAAUUAAAAACCCUAGGCUUACAGAGGAAGACGAUGUAGAACUUUUGUAUUUCUCCGAGACCAACGAUUCAUGACACAAUUUCACUUGCUAAGAAUAUGAAGAUGGAGAUGAUGAAUUAUGUAGAUCUGACAGCGAUGAAUUCUAUAUAGAGAACGACACUGCAUUACCAGCCGCUCUUUUGAGGUACACCGUUAUUGUACAGGAUUUGCAAAUGUUUCAAGAUGAUGGAUGGUGCUGAAAUUGUUUGCAGUGAGGUGGUUUAUAAGGUGGAGGAGGAGAACUGUGGUUCUAGUAUGAAUGCAGUUGGUGGUGUUGCUACUGUUGUUUAUAAUGUCAUUAGUAAUAGUAAUUGUAAUGGCAAUGACGGUUUCGCCUGUGUAUGUGAACGUGAGUGUCGAGGUGAGUGCUGGUGAGUUUGGUGAUGUAGGUGGUGUUAAUUUUGAUGGUGAAUUAGAGCAGUUUAAUGGUCAUCUUGACGAGGUCUCGGGGGAACAGAAGACAGAUGUUAAGAGCACCGAAGAAGUGGAUGAUACUGGUUCAGGGCUUACCGAGUCAACUCUGAACAUUGUAUAAAGCUCUCGUGUGACUAGUUCUGAGUUUGAGUAUGCUAUUAAGCCAUCUGAUGUGACAGUUACUACAAAACCCUAUAUGAUUCUUGAUGCAACUGCUUCAGAGAAUCUUGAAGUUUUUUAGAACAGUGUAAAUCGGGACUCUAAAGGGUACGAGUUAAAUUAUAUUGUUCACACAGAGGUAGGAAUUUCGACUCAUUUACUUGUAAAUGAGUUGAUUUGGUGAAUGGGUGAAACCGGUUGGAAGUCGCCCAGAAUCUAUUACUAAACAACCUCAUAAAUCGUUCUAAUUAAAAUUGUUGCUACGUCCAUACUGCAUAGUUAAAAAGAUGGACAAAAAGUGUGUGGAUCAAACCAACCCGUUUCAACAGUAACCUGUUUUGAUCCAUUACACGACCCAUCCCUCUUGCCAUCUUUAUAUUCACAUUUACCAAAUGUAUAAUCCUUCUAAUAUGCUGUAUAAAUCUAUACAGGACAUUGUAUGACCAACUAAACCGUUGUGUGACACCAUUUGGGAAGAGAUUGCUUAAAGCAUGGCUUGCUAGACCUUUAUAUGUCAUAAUCUCGAUCACAGGACGCCAAGAAGCCGUAGCUGGUGUAAAGGUUAGCUUGAUGUUGCUGUUGUUAAACUGAUGCGGGUCAUGGAUGUGCUAAAUCAGCAGCUGCAGCUGCUGUCUUUUGCUAACAAACGAUGAGGGAGUAGCAGUAGACCACAUUAAAUAUAUACAGAGCAGCAAUUGAAAUACAUGGUUAUGGACUUCCAUCAAGAUGUUUUUUCAAUACUUUAUAUUGCAAAAUAUAGAUCAUGUCUUAGUGGAAUCAGAAAAGUAAAUACAAUUAUUAUUGCAUUUUAUAACUAUUUCUCUGCAACUAGACUUCGGUUCACAUGUUU